This 112-nucleotide ribosomal RNA is filed under the name Anaerolineaceae bacterium. Lineage: Bacteria; Bacillati; Chloroflexota; Anaerolineae; Anaerolineales; Anaerolineaceae. The record is from RNAcentral. RNAcentral also lists the same sequence under 1 other name.
UGACUCUAGCGGAGGGGAUAUACCCUGCUCCAUCCCGAACCAGGCAGUCAAGCCCUCCAGCGCCGAUGGUACUUGGGACGCAGGUCCCUGGGAGAGUAGGUCGUUGCCAGAG